RNAcentral lists this ribosomal RNA (468 nucleotides) under uncultured bacterium. RNAcentral describes it as "partial 16S ribosomal RNA". It matches the Rfam family "Bacterial small subunit ribosomal RNA", at positions 28 to 507 of the family's 1533-position model. The record is from RNAcentral.
GACGAACGCUGGCGGCGUGCUUAACACAUGCAAGUCGAACGGAAAGGCCCUGCUUUUGUGGGGUGCUCGAGUGGCGAACGGGUGAGUAACACGUGAGUAACCUGCCCUUGACUUUGGGAUAACUUCAGGAAACUGGGGCUAAUACCGGAUAGGAGCUCCUGCUGCAUGGUGGGGGUUGGAAAGUUUCGGCGGUUGGGGAUGGCCUCGCGGCUUAUCAGCUUGUUGGUGGGGUAGUGGCUUACCAAGGCUUUGACGGGUAGCCGGCCUGCGAGGGUGACCGGCCACAUUGGGACUGAGAUACGGCCCAGACUCCUACGGGAGGCAGCAGUGGGGAAUAUUGCACAAUGGGCGGAAGCCUGAUGCAGCAACGCCGCGUGCGGGAUGACGGCCUUCGGGUUGUAAACCGCUUUCGCCUGUGACGAAGCGUGAGUGACGGUAAUGGGUAAAGAAGCACCGGCUAACUACGUG